AGGAGGAGCAACCCCAGUGGCGGAGGCCAGCUUGGAGCCCUGGAUUCAGCUCCCGCAGUAACUACGUAGCUCUCGGUCUGCAGGUGCCUGGAUGCUCUGGGGGUGG
RNAcentral lists this microRNA precursor (106 nucleotides) under Canis lupus familiaris (dog). Its description in RNAcentral is "mir-8834 microRNA precursor family". It matches the Rfam family "mir-8834 microRNA precursor family". The record is from Rfam by way of RNAcentral. Lineage: Eukaryota; Metazoa; Chordata; Mammalia; Carnivora; Canidae.